RNAcentral lists this ribosomal RNA (743 nucleotides) under uncultured Capnocytophaga sp. Its description in RNAcentral is "bacterial SSU rRNA". It matches the Rfam family "Bacterial small subunit ribosomal RNA", at positions 28 to 776 of the family's 1533-position model. Lineage: Bacteria; Pseudomonadati; Bacteroidota; Flavobacteriia; Flavobacteriales; Flavobacteriaceae. The record is from RNAcentral.
GAUGAACGCUAGCGGCAGGCCUAACACAUGCAAGUCGAGGGAGGAGCUUUCGGGCUUAGACCGGCGUACGGGUGCGUAACGCGUAUACAAUCUGCCUUUCACAUAGGGAUAGCCCGAAGAAAUUUGGAUUAAUACCUAAUGGUAUAUAGUUGUGGCAUCACAUUUAUAUUAAAGCUGAGGCGGUGAAAGAUGAGUAUGCGUUCUAUUAGCUAGUUGGAGAGGUAACGGCUCCCCAAGGCGACGAUAGAUAGGGGUUCUGAGAGGGAUAUCCCCCACACUGGUACUGAGAUACGGACCAGACUCCUACGGGAGGCAGCAGUGAGGAAUAUUGGACAAUGGUCGGAAGACUGAUCCAGCCAUGCCGCGUGCAGGAAGACGGCCUUAUGGGUUGUAAACUGCUUUUGCAGGGGAAGAAUAAGGACUACGUGUAGUUUGAUGACGGUACUCUGCGAAUAAGCAUCGGCUAACUCCGUGCCAGCAGCCGCGGUAAUACGGAGGAUGCGAGCGUUAUCCGGAAUCAUUGGGUUUAAAGGGUCCGUAGGCGGGCUAAUAAGUCAGAGGUGAAAGCGCUCAGCUCAACUGAGCAACUGCCUUUGAAACUGUUAGUCUUGAAUGGUUGUGAAGUAGUUGGAAUGUGUAGUGUAGCGGUGAAAUGCUUAGAUAUUACACAGAACACCGAUAGCGAAGGCAUAUUACUAACAAUUAAUUGACGCUGAUGGACGAAAGCGUGGGGAGCGAACAGG